GACGAACGCUGGCGGCGCGCCUAACACAUGCAAGUCGAACGAGCGAGAGCGUAGGGUCUUGUCGUUUCGUCGAAGCGAGUGGCGAACGGGUGACGUUAACCGCGUGGAGGAACCUGCCUACGAAAGAGGGGACAACAGUUCGAAACACUGCUUAUACCGCGAUAAGCCCACGUACCGGACACUACGGGUAGUAGGUAAAGGAGCAAAGUACCGAGUUUUGACGAUCGGCCUACGUCGUCCGAUUUAGGCUAGGUUAGGGUGACGGUAACCGGACCCGACCGAAGGCGACGAUACGGGUACGGCCCGGUACUGGAGGAGGUUGAACGGCCGCAUUGGGACUGAGACACGGCCCAG
Molecule: ribosomal RNA, 354 nt
Filed under: uncultured bacterium
Lineage: Bacteria
Description: bacterial SSU rRNA
Rfam family: Bacterial small subunit ribosomal RNA
Source: RNAcentral